Molecule: long non-coding RNA, 1170 nt
Filed under: Coturnix japonica (Japanese quail)
Lineage: Eukaryota; Metazoa; Chordata; Aves; Galliformes; Phasianidae
Description: lncRNA (ENSCJPG00005010875.1)
Source: RNAcentral
GAUGUGUCUGUGUCUGUGUCUGUGUCUGUGUCUGUGUCUGUGUCUGUGUCUGUGUCUGUGUCUGUGUCUGUGUCUGUGUCUGUGUCUGUGUCUGUGCCUGUGUGCUGCCACAGCACAGAGCUGGCAGGGACCAGGAGCCCGAGGAGCUGGGUGAGCAGUGAAAACCUGGAGCUUUGCAGGAGAACGUGGCAGAUUUUGAAAGGCAGCUUUCCCAAACAGAAAGAGGAACUCGUGGCAGCUAAAGGAAGGAUUCUCUCUUUGGGUUUUGUUUGGUUCUUGCACCUCCAUCCACCGGCACUCUGUUGUUCAGAGAAAGAAGUGCGUUUUUGGAACGGAGAGCUGACAGACCUCGGGAAAUCGAGUUGGGAGGAAAAAAAAAAACCAAAUGGAAUUCAUGUUGUUUCUCUAAGCACAUUCCCAUGUUUCAGAUUUCACACCGAUAGAUUGAUGGUAUGGUUUGCUUUAGAACCAGGUGGCCGCAUGGCUUCCAUCUGUUGUGUCUCCUGCUCUGUCUCCAGCGAGGAGCGUCGCGGAGCUGCGCGGCAUCUGCCCCGCGGGACCGAGCUGUGCGCUGCGGGGAUGGGAUGGGAUGGGAUGGGAUGGGGUGGGAUGGGAUGGGAUGGGANGGGAUGGGAUGGGAUGGGAUGGGGUGGGAUGGGAUGGGGGGAGCUGGUUGUGCAGCCCCGCACGGCGGGACGCGGGGCAGACUCGUGCUGUGCGGUGCCGAGCGCGUUUCGCUCGCUCUGGACGCCCUGAAUUUUUGCGCUCGUUUGGCGCAGAGCUGAAGGAGGAACAGGCGGCGGUGCUGCCGCUGGGGCUGCGGGCACCCACUGGGACGGGAGCCCGGCCGUGCCGCCCCGGGGGCCCGCAGGUGCUGCUGCCCGGAGCUGGGACGGCGCUGCGGUUCCGCCCAGUCGGGCCAAGUGAACCAGACUUACACUUUCGCUUUUAUUGACCGCCGCGUUCAGCUUUUUUUCCCACUCGUACAGAGCCGUGCUGAGCGUUAAGCGGAGGCACAGCCCGCGGUCCUCCCCCCGCUCUCCCCGCCCCGGGACCGCGCUCGGUUGGGGGCCCGGCCCGGCUCGGUCCCGCCGCGCCCUCCCCGCCGCCUCCCGUCCGCGCUGGGUGCGGGAAGCCGGCCCUUUCCGGGGGAGGCCCGGCCGCGGGAGG